AGCAUGCAAGUCAAACGGGAUGUAGUAAUACAUCUAGUGGCGAACGGGUGAGUAACGCGUGGAUGAUCUACCUAUGAGAUGGGGAUAACUACUAGAAAUAGUAGCUAAUACCGAAUAAGGUCAAUUAAUUUGUUAAUUGAUGAAAGGAAGCCUUUAAAGCUUCGCUUGUAGAUGAGUCUGCGUCUUAUUAGUUAGUUGGUGGGGUAAAUGCCUACCAAGGCGAUGAUAAGUAACCGGCCUGAGAGGGUGAACGGUCACACUGGAACUGAGAUACGGUCCAGACUCCUACGGGAGGCAGCAGCUAAGAAUCUUCCGCAAUGGGCGAAAGCCUGACGGAGCGACACUGCGUGAAUGAAGAAGGUCGAAAGAUUGUAAAAUUCUUUUAUAAAUGAGGAAUAAGCUUUGUAGGAAAUGACAAAGUGAUGACGUUAAUUUAUGAAUAAGCCCCGGCUAAUUACGUGCCAGCAGCCGCGGUAAUACGUAAGGGGCGAGCGUUGUUCGGGAUUAUUGGGCGUAAAGGGUGAGUAGGCGGAUAUAUAAGUCUAUGCAUAAAAUACCACAGCUCAACUGUGGAACUAUGUUGGAAACUAUAUGCCUAGAGUCUGAUAGAGGAAGUUAGAAUUCCUGGUGUAAGGGUGGAAUCUGUUGAUAUCAGGAAGAAUACCGGAGGCGAAGGCGAACUUCUGGGUCAAGACUGACGCUGAGUCACGAAAGCGUAGGGAGCAAACAGGAUUAGAUACCCUGGUAGUCUACGCUGUAAACGAUGCACACUUGGUGUUAA
RNAcentral lists this ribosomal RNA (781 nucleotides) under Borreliella valaisiana. Its description in RNAcentral is "bacterial SSU rRNA". It matches the Rfam family "Bacterial small subunit ribosomal RNA", at positions 52 to 826 of the family's 1533-position model. The record is from RNAcentral. Lineage: Bacteria; Pseudomonadati; Spirochaetota; Spirochaetia; Spirochaetales; Borreliaceae.